RNAcentral lists this ribosomal RNA (669 nucleotides) under Microbispora sp. RNAcentral's name for it is "bacterial SSU rRNA". It matches the Rfam family "Bacterial small subunit ribosomal RNA", at positions 74 to 762 of the family's 1533-position model. Lineage: Bacteria; Bacillati; Actinomycetota; Actinomycetes; Streptosporangiales; Streptosporangiaceae. The record is from RNAcentral.
GGCCCUUCGGGGUACUCGAGCGGCGAACGGGUGAGUAACACGUGAGUAACCUGCCCCUGACUCUGGGAUAAGCCUGGGAAACCGGGUCUAAUACCGGAUAUGACACUCCUCCGCAUGGUGUGGGUGUGGAAAGUUUUUUCGGUUGGGGAUGGACUCGCGGCCUAUCAGCUUGUUGGUGGGGUGAUGGCCUACCAAGGCGACGACGGGUAGCCGGCCUGAGAGGGCGACCGGCCACACUGGGACUGAGACACGGCCCAGACUCCUACGGGAGGCAGCAGUGGGGAAUAUUGCGCAAUGGGCGAAAGCCUGACGCAGCGACGCCGCGUGGGGGAUGACGGCCUUCGGGUUGUAAACCUCUUUCAGCAGGGACGAAGUUGACGUGUACCUGUAGAAGAAGCGCCGGCUAACUACGUGCCAGCAGCCGCGGUAAUACGUAGGGCGCGAGCGUUGUCCGGAAUUAUUGGGCGUAAAGAGCUCGUAGGUGGCUUGUUGCGUCUGCCGUGAAAGCCCGUGGCUUAACUACGGGUCUGCGGUGGAUACGGGCAGGCUAGAGGCUGGUAGGGGCAAGCGGAAUUCCUGGUGUAGCGGUGAAAUGCGCAGAUAUCAGGAGGAACACCGGUGGCGAAGGCGGCUUGCUGGGCCAGUUCUGACGCUGAGGAGCGAAAGCUG